GCUCAGGACGAACGCUGGCGGCGUGCCUAAUACAUGCAAGUCGAGCGGACAGAUGGGAGCUUGCUCCCUGAUGUUAGCGGCGGACGGGUGAGUAACACGUGGGUAACCUGCCUGUAAGACUGGGAUAACUCCGGGAAACCGGGGCUAAUACCGGAUGCUUGUUUGAACCGCAUGGUUCAAAUAUAAAAGGUGGCUUUUAGCUACCACUUACAGAUGGACCCGCGGCGCAUUAGCUAGUUGGUGAGGUAACGGCUCACCAAGGCAACGAUGCGUAGCCGACCUGAGAGGGUGAUCGGCCACACUGGGACUGAGACACGGCCCAGACUCCUACGGGAGGCAGCAGUAGGGAAUCUUCCGCAAUGGACGAAAGUCUGACGGAGCAACGCCGCGUGAGUGAUGAAGGUUUUCGGAUCGUAAAACUCUGUUGUUAGGGAAGAACAAGUACCGUUCGAAUAGGGCGGUACCUUGACGGUACCUGACCAGAAAGCCACGGCUAACUACGUGCCAGCAGCCGCGGUAAUACGUAGGUGGCAAGCGUUGUCCGGAAUUAUUGGGCGUAAAGCGCGCGCAGGCGGUUUCUUAAGUCUGAUGUGAAAGCCCCCGGCUCAACCGGGGAGGGUCAUUGGAAACUGGGGAACUUGAGUGCAGAAGAGGAGAGUGGAAUUCCACGUGUAGCGGUGAAAUGCGUAGAGAUGUGGAGGAACACCAGUGGCGAAGGCG
Molecule: ribosomal RNA, 720 nt
Filed under: Bacillus sp. THJ-E5
Lineage: Bacteria; Bacillati; Bacillota; Bacilli; Caryophanales; Bacillaceae
Description: bacterial SSU rRNA
Rfam family: Bacterial small subunit ribosomal RNA
Source: RNAcentral